CUUCUCUCAAGUUGAUAAUUUUCCAUAAUUAUGAAACAACAGUCUACAUUCUAGAAUUCUGUCUUGUUCAGUUUCUCUAGAAAAAACAGGCAAUAUCAGCAGUCUUCAGAGGACUUUGAUAUCUACAUUUUCUCAAGCACCCUAAAUGAUCAUUCCUUAAAAUGUAGAACUUAUGUUUGUUUUUCCACUAAGUAUUUUUGAGGGUUGGCAUUAUCUAUACAUUCAGCCAUAGAAUCACCCUUAAAAAUGCAUACAACAGGCUCUUCUGGGGAAUGCAAACAUUCAUUCAGCUGUUCUAGAUUAGCUAGACUUGUUGAUUUGCAAUAGAAGAGGGGUCUGAAAAAAAAAUCCUCUCCACCUCUCCUCCGUUUCUCCUCCUCCCCCCCCCCCCCCCCCCCCCCCCCCAUCAAUACUUGCCUAGGGCAAGAGAAUGUCAACCAGCAGAUCUCAGCUCAGACGUGAAAAUGAAAACCUGGGACUGCUAUGGAUUUUAGUGUUUGUUUGUUUGUUUGUUUUUUCUUUCAGAAGGAUACAGACCAGGAAAUUUCUGAAACACAAACAUAUGUUUGCACACUAACUCUAGUAAUUUUUUUUGAGUAAUUUAUUCACUGAUACAUGCCAGGGCAAGAGUUACAAAUCAGAAGUGUAUCUGCAAGGCAGAUUAUUUAUCUCCAAAGGAAACUCUUGCCAACUGAUCCCAGGCAGAAGAUUGGCUUUGGUUCUGCAAGCAGCUGCUCAUCUUCCCACUUUGCUGGAGACAGAGCAGAAGUUUUCAGCAAGAAUUGGGCUUUUUAUUGGAUCUGAAGUAUCUUCCUCAACAAAGGUCUUCAAUACUACCUGGAUUAUAAGUAACAUCAUUUAUAAUGACAGUACUAUGAUGCUAAAAAUGACUUCCAUGAAUGCAGCAAGAAUCACAAAGACUGGAAUAUGUGAGGAGCUCUUGUAUGGGCUGAUGGUGCAGAUCAUGACAGAAACACAAAACAAGGAAACUCCAGGGCUGCAUUAAGUGGUAUCAAGACCAUGGAAACUGGAAUUGAUAGCAGGUAUGAAGUGGAUUCAUCAUCCUUUUGGUGGACCAUGAAUGGGAGAACUGCUUCUUGUCUUAUCUCCUGCACAGACUCUGAUCUCUGGCUGCUCAGGUAAGGAUGCUUGAAAGAUGCAGGAAUUUUAAGCACCAGUCCAUGGCAUGGAUCUUCUCUUUGGUAUUUUCAUGCUGAGGUUUUUCUGACAGAUGGCAUAAAGAAAUAAGCCUCAUUCCUAAG
RNAcentral lists this long non-coding RNA (1262 nucleotides) under Anas platyrhynchos platyrhynchos (common mallard). Its description in RNAcentral is "lncRNA (ENSAPLG00000029250.1)". Lineage: Eukaryota; Metazoa; Chordata; Aves; Anseriformes; Anatidae. The record is from RNAcentral.